AAACCGCUUAGGGGUUAAGCCCGAUGAACCUGAAUAUCUGAAUUGAGAAAUUCAAUAUUAUUUUAUUUUCUAUGUUUUUAGUUAAUAAAUUGUAUGCACUUUUCUCAUAGUAAGACAUUGCGAUCCAUUAGUAUUGUUUAGUUUAUCAAACGGCCCGUUUGUUUAGUUUAUUCUAUCUGUGAUAAUUUCAUUAUUGUCAUAUGAAUAAUAGCAUAAUUGGUGACCUGAUAAACAGCUGAUGGAGCUUAAAAAUCAUGCAACCAUGCAUAUGUAUCGCGAUUUGUUAAUAUUUUAUUAAUGAAUGCAGUGAUAGCAUGUAUUUGAUUAGCAAUGCGAUAGAUUUGGGAUACCUUCGGGACCCGUCUUGAAACACGGACCAAGAAGUCUAACAUGUGUGCAAGUCAUUGGGUAUUGUAUGUUGAAACCUAAAGGCGAAAUUAAAAUAACUAUUUUUAUGGGAUUACAAGCAAUUUAAUUUUUAUUAAUGAUUGCUUCUCCAUCCCGGGGCGUUCUAUACGAACAUGAUUUAAGCAAUUAAAUUCUCUGUUCAAGAGCGUACCUUGAGCAUACAUGCUGUGACCCGAAAGAUGGUGAACUAUACCUGAUCAGGUUGAAGUCAGGGGAAACCCUGAUGGAGGACUGAAGCAGUUCUGACGUGCAAAUCGAUUGUCAGAAUUGGGUAUAGGGGCGUAAGACCAAUCGAACCAUCUAGUAGCUGGUUCCCUCCGAAGUUUCCCUCAGGAUAGCUGGUGCAAUGAAAAAUCUAAUAUAUAAUCUUAUCUGGUAAAGCGAAUGAUUAGAGGCCUUGGGGCCGAAACGACCUCAACCUAUUCUCAAACUUUAAAUGGGUAAGAACCUCAUCUUUCUUGAUCUGAAGAUAUAGGGGUUUAGAUAUAUUGUGCCCAGUGGGCCACUUUUGGUAAGCAGAACUGGCGCUGUGGGAUGAACCAAACGUGAUGUUACGGCGCCCAAAUUAAUGACUCAUAUUGAUACCAUGAAAGGCGUUGGUUGCUUAAAACAGCAGGUCGGUGGACACGGAAGUUGUAAUCCGCUAAGGAGUGUGUAACAACUCACCUGCCGAAGCAACUAGCCCUUAAAAUGGAUGGCGCUCAAGUCAUAUGCCUAUACAUCACCGCUAGAAUAAAAAGAAUUUAUUUUUUUAAAAAAAAUAAAUUUUAUCAAAUUCUA
RNAcentral lists this ribosomal RNA (1188 nucleotides) under unidentified. RNAcentral describes it as "Paleoplatyura melanderi partial 28S ribosomal RNA". It matches the Rfam family "Eukaryotic large subunit ribosomal RNA", at positions 402 to 1376 of the family's 3401-position model. The record is from RNAcentral.